GAUGAACGCUGGCGGCGUGCCUAAUACAUGCAAGUCGAGCGAACAGACGAGGAGCUUGCUCCUCUGACGUUAGCGGCGGACGGGUGAGUAACACGCGGAUAACCUACCUAUAAGACUGGGAUAACUUCGGGAAACCGGAGCUAAUACCGGAUAAUAUAUUGAACCGCAUGGUUCAAUAGUGAAAGACGGUUUUGCUGUCACUUAUAGAUGGAUCCGCGCCGCAUUAGCUAGUUGGUAAGGUAACGGCUUACCAAGGCAACGAUGCGUAGCCGACCUGAGAGGGUGAUCGGCCACACUGGAACUGAGACACGGUCCAGACUCCUACGGGAGGCAGCAGUAGGGAAUCUUCCGCAAUGGGCGAAAGCCUGACGGAGCAACGCCGCGUGAGUGAUGAAGGUCUUCGGAUCGUAAAACUCUGUUAUUAGGGAAGAACAAAUGUGUAAGUAACUAUGCACGUCUUGACGGUACCUAAUCAGAAAGCCACGGCUAACUACGU
This 496-nucleotide ribosomal RNA is filed under the name uncultured bacterium. RNAcentral's name for it is "partial 16S ribosomal RNA". It matches the Rfam family "Bacterial small subunit ribosomal RNA", at positions 28 to 506 of the family's 1533-position model. The record is from RNAcentral.